Molecule: transfer RNA, 75 nt
Filed under: Aquifex sp.
Lineage: Bacteria; Pseudomonadati; Aquificota; Aquificia; Aquificales; Aquificaceae
Also listed under: 1 other name
Description: tRNA-Thr
Rfam family: tRNA
About the family: Transfer RNA (tRNA) molecules are approximately 80 nucleotides in length. Their secondary structure includes four short double-helical elements and three loops (D, anti-codon, and T loops). Further hydrogen bonds mediate the characteristic L-shaped molecular structure. tRNAs have two regions of fundamental functional importance: the anti-codon, which is responsible for specific mRNA codon recognition, and the 3' end, to which the tRNAs corresponding amino acid is attached (by aminoacyl-tRNA synthetases). tRNAs cope with the degeneracy of the genetic code in two manners: having more than one tRNA (with a specific anti-codon) for a particular amino acid; and 'wobble' base-pairing, i.e. permitting non-standard base-pairing at the 3rd anti-codon position.
Source: RNAcentral
GCCGGCGUAGCUCAGCGGCAGAGCGCGGGCUUCGUAAGCCUGAGGUCGUGGGUUCGAAUCCCACCGCCGGCUCCU